This 632-nucleotide long non-coding RNA is filed under the name Sus scrofa (pig). RNAcentral's name for it is "lncRNA (ENSSSCG00070018846.1)". Lineage: Eukaryota; Metazoa; Chordata; Mammalia; Artiodactyla; Suidae. The record is from RNAcentral.
AUGUUCAAGAUUAAUGAUAACAUAUUCUCUUUCAUAAAAAAUUUCAUGAAUGAAGAGAUCAUAAGAAUGGGUAGGAGUCUGGAAAAAUUUACCCUUGGAAAGACAGUAGGAAACAGGAAUCCUAACAUAUCACUGCUAGGAAAAGCACAAGAGUCUGAAUUUACCAUGGACAACUUGAUCACCCUCAGAUGGGAUGUGUUUAGUGCAGGAACAGAGACAACAAGCAUCACCCUGAUAUAUGGACUCUUGCUCCUGCUGAAGUACCAAGAGAUCACAGGAAGAGAUUAAACAUGUGGUUGGCAGAAACUGGAGCCCCCUGCAUGCAGGACAGGAGCCGCAUGCCCUACAUGGAUGCUGUGGUGCAUGAGAUACAUUGACCUGGUCCCCACCAACCUGCCCCACAAAGCAACUCAGGACAUUAAAUUCAGAGACUAUCUUAUUCCCAAGGUGAGAGGUAUUUCAUCUAUACUGCUCUUUCAUAAUCUUAGGUUAUCAGCUAUCACAAUGGUGGAAUAAUAGAUUGCCUGUCUACAGGUGUUGCACAGUUAUAACUCAGGCAUUUCACCCUCUGACCACAUUCUAGUUUGCUGACACAGUUGAAUAAAUUAAAUACUACUUAGAAAGUAUUUUCA